GACGGGGGGAGCAAGCGUUGUUCGGAAUUACUGGGCGUAAAGGGCGUGUAGGCGGUCAGGUAAGUGGGAUGCGAAAUGCCCCGGCUCACCCGGGGACCGGCAUCCCAUACUGCUUGGCUUGAGUACGGGAGAGGAUGGGGGAAUUCCUGGUGUAGCGGUGAAAUGCGUAGAUAUCAGGAGGAACACCGGUGGCGAAGGCGCCCAUCUGGCCCGAUACUGACGCUGAGGCGCGAAAGCUAGGGGAGCAAACGGG
Molecule: ribosomal RNA, 253 nt
Filed under: uncultured bacterium
Lineage: Bacteria
Description: partial 16S ribosomal RNA
Rfam family: Bacterial small subunit ribosomal RNA
Source: RNAcentral